This 497-nucleotide ribosomal RNA is filed under the name uncultured bacterium. RNAcentral describes it as "partial 16S ribosomal RNA". It matches the Rfam family "Bacterial small subunit ribosomal RNA", at positions 28 to 507 of the family's 1533-position model. The record is from RNAcentral.
GAUGAACGCUGGCGGCGUGCCUAAUACAUGCAAGUCGAGCGAACGGACGCGUAGCUUGCUUCUCUGAUGUUAGCGGCGGACUUGUGAGUAACACGUGGAUCCCCUACCUAUAAGACUUUGAUAACUUCGGGAAACCGGAGCUAAUACCGGAUACUAUUUUGAACCGCAUGGUUCAAAAGUGAAAGACGGUCUUGCUGUCACUUAUCGAUGGAUCCGCGCUGCAUUAGCUAGUUGUUAAGGUAACGGCUUACCAAGGCACCGAUGCAUAGCCGACCUGAGAGGGUGAUCGGCCACACUGGAACUGAGACACGGUCAAGACUCCUAAGGGAGGCAGCAGUAGGGAAUCUUCCGAAAUGGGCGAAAGCCUGACGGAGCAACGCCGCGUGAGUGAUGAAGGUCUUCGGAUCGUAAAACUCUGUUAUGAGGGAAGAACAUAUGUGUAAGUAAAUGUGCACAUCGUGACGGUACCUAAUCAGAAAGCCACGGCUAACUACGUG